RNAcentral lists this transfer RNA (67 nucleotides) under bovine gut metagenome. It matches the Rfam family "tRNA". Rfam says of the family: Transfer RNA (tRNA) molecules are approximately 80 nucleotides in length. The record is from RNAcentral.
GGGAGUGGCUCAGUGGUAGAGCUCCACCUUGCCAAGGUGGUUGUCGCGGGUUCGAUCCCCGUCUCCC